Molecule: ribosomal RNA, 256 nt
Filed under: uncultured bacterium
Lineage: Bacteria
Description: partial 16S ribosomal RNA
Rfam family: Bacterial small subunit ribosomal RNA
Source: RNAcentral
UACAGAGACUGCAAGCGUUUAUUCGGAUUCACUGGGCGUUAAAGGGUGCGCAGGCGGUUGGGUGUGUCAGAUGUGAAAUCCCGAGGCUUAACCUCGGAACUGCGUCUGAAACUACUCGACUAGAGUAUUGGAGAGGGUAACGGAAGUUCACGGUGUAGCAGUGAAAUGCGUAGAUAUCGUGAGGAACACCAGAGGCGAAGGCGGUUACCUGGACAAUUACUGACGCUCAGGCACGAAAGCAUGGGGAGCAAAAGGG